GAGCGCCCCGCAAGGGGAGCGGCAGACGGGAGAGUAACACGUGGGAACGUGCCCUUUGGUUCGGAACAACACAGGGAAACUUGUGCUAAUACCGGAUAAGCCCUUACGGGGAAAGAUUUAUUGCCAAAGGAGCGGCCCGCGUCUGAUUAGCUUGUUGGUGAGGUAACGGCUCACCAAGGCUACGAUCAGUAGCUGGUCUGAGAGGAUGAUCAGCCUCACUGGGACUGAGACACGGCCCAGACUCCUACGGGAGGCAGCAGUGGGGAAUAUUGGACAAUGGGCGCAAGCCUGAUCCAGCCAUGCCGCGUGGAUGAUGAAGGCCUUAGGGUUGUAAAGUCCUUUCGGCGGGGAAGAUAAUGACGGUACCCGCAGAAGAAGCCCCGGCUAACUUCGUGCCAGCAGCCGCGGUAAUACGAAGGGGGCUAGCGUUGCUCGGAAUCACUGGGCGUAAAGCGCACGUAGGCGGCUUUCUAAGUCAGAGGUGAAAUCCUGGAGCUCAACUCCAGAACUGCCUUUGAUACUGGAGAGCUUGAGUCCGGGAGAGGUGAGUGGAACUGCGAGUGUAGAGGUGAAAUUCGUAGAUAUUCGCAAGAACACCAGUGGCGAAGGCGGCUCACUGGCCCGGUACUGACGCUGAGGUGCGAAAGCGUGGGGA
This 655-nucleotide ribosomal RNA is filed under the name uncultured bacterium. RNAcentral describes it as "bacterial SSU rRNA". It matches the Rfam family "Bacterial small subunit ribosomal RNA", at positions 64 to 767 of the family's 1533-position model. The record is from RNAcentral.